Molecule: unclassified non-coding RNA, 243 nt
Filed under: Hevea brasiliensis (rubber tree)
Lineage: Eukaryota; Viridiplantae; Streptophyta; Magnoliopsida; Malpighiales; Euphorbiaceae
Source: RNAcentral
GAUAAUACUACUUCGAAGGAAUAAACAUAAGAUCAUGAUGAGUCUUCUUUCUACCAGAAGCUGCAAUUCUUGAAUCGUGAUCGAUCUCAGGUUACGUUUUGUUCCCUCUGAAAAUGAAAAUGGAUCGAAUAUGGAAUAAUUUUAUUUUUGAGAACUAUGUUUAUAUGUAAAAAACUUGAACUUAGAUGAAAAUGAAUGAUGCAUAUAUAUUAUUUAAGUUCAAGUUUUUUACAUAUAAACAUA